UUCUUGAGUGGUUAACUCGCCCCUGUCUAGUGACACGUCCUGGUGACUGAGGACAAGUGGAGAAUUCUGGAAGGGUGCCUCCUAAUCACCCACAUACUGACCUGGGGCCCAGGUCUCCUAUGAGACGGUUCUAGGUGGUCAGGAUACGCCAGGGGACAGAACACACGAAGAUCCCUGCUUUUCAGGGACUUAGGUUCCAGGAGGAGGAGACAGAUCACGAUAGACAACAAGCACAGGCUGGGAAGUGGUGUGGGGAGUCAGGAGGAGGUAUGUGCAGUGUGAAAAAGGAACAGCAGAGCAAGGAUGAGCGGGCGUGGCAAGGCCUGCACUUCACAGAAGUCGGUCAGGGAGGCUUCGUGGACAAGGCGACACUUGAACAGCAGCCCAAGAGAGUUGGGUGGCAGCUGGUGACCCCGGGCGGGCGUCCUUCUGGUCUCCCACAAACACACAGAGGUCUGCCUUGGACCACAGGGAAAUCACCCCCCAGACACCCCUAUGAAAGGUGGGAGAACAGGAGUUUGGCAACGUCCCUCUCUCUCAGCUAGAAGCGAAGUUGAUAAAAACUGGGAAAUAACUUAGCAAAUAUUAAAAUUUUUCCAGUAAUUUUUCAAGCAUUAAGUCUUUUUUAAAAAUCUCUAGAAACCAUAAUACGCAUUUUGGACAUUCUCCUGUAAGCUAGUCCAUCCGUGUUUGCAGCAGCGGGAUAAACUGCUACUAGUGACUGGUCAGUAGUAUGGAUUCAGGAUAAUGUACGGAGAAACGUAACCUCUGGGAAGGAAACUGGGAAACGACAGGAUACACGUUAGCGUAACGCCUGUGCGUGGGAAGCAUCCGACCUCUGCCUCACGCGGCCCACGGACCUCAGCUCCACCGCGUGCCCGGCGCCCGCCGCUCCUGGCCGCGCGGCUCGCAGCACUGGACCAAGUCCUGUUCCCGCCUCACAGGCCAUCUGUCCUCACCGCCUCUGAGGCAGAGGCGGCCACUUCACUUUCUGGCCCCAGACUCACACCUGUCACAGAGCUUGUUUAUCUGUUACAUGUGUUUUCCCCUCAACUGGAAUGUUCACCCUCUUCAGGGUUUGGACCGUGUCCCUUUGUGAUGCAACCCCAGGGGCCAGCACAGGGCCUGGCACAGGGGAGGCCCAGGAAUACGUCGGGCUACAGAUGUGUUCCUGGUGGGUUCUCUGACAGCUCUAAAACGAGAUUCCGCUCACUAGGAGUACCCGACGCCUGGACAGGCAGGAGCGCUGACAGUUUGCUGAGGAAGUUGACUGAGGUCCUGCCCAUAACUGACCGUGAUCUCAGUCUUCUCUGCCGCCCACGAGGGCAGCUCAGUUGUGGGGCCUUGGCUACAGAUGACCUGUUGGUCUCAGCUGCUCACUGAAUUUUUCUUGGCCAAUAAAUCCAUCUAUUUCCAAACCCUUUCUGCUUCCCUCCUCAUCCAAGAAUAUAAAGCCAUUCCUUAUCAAAAUGUUAUUCCUGGCCAUUGCCCUGCCAGAGGUGUGAAGACUGCAGCCCGACCCUGCCGGGGAACAGGGCAGAACCGCUGAGGUGACAGGACGCUGGCCGCACGCGCGGCCUGCCCUUCCUCCUCGUGCUCAUAGGACCGCACUGAGCUGCGUGCAGCUGAGCACAGGGCAGCCGGGUGGCGCCGCAGGUCCAGGGUCUGCGACGCCCAGAGCUGCAGCAGCCAUGUUGUGAGCAGGAGGGAUGAGCCUGAGGACGAGCAAGUGGCGAAGCAGAAAGAAGGACAUCCCGCACCAGCACACCAACCCCAGGGCCACUGCAGCUCCGUAUCUGAGCUCAGGAGAUAAUUACCUUCAGUGCGUAAGCCACUGUUACCUGCAACCAAAGCACACUCAUACAAACUGAGGGGACGUUCAUCUUUUCUAGUCCCACUCCCCUUGUUUUACAAGCCAGGAAACACAUACAGGGUCUUUGAGUAACAAAGAAAAUAGAAGAACUGUGAACAGACAACCAGGUCCUACUGCACAGCACAGGGAACUAUAUUCAGUGCCGUGUGACAGCCUGUAAUGGAAGAGAGUCUGAAAAGGAGCAUACGUGGGUGUAACCGAACCACCGUGCUGCGCACCAGAAACCAGCGCGACACUGCAAACCGACUACACUUUAAUUAGAAAAAACAAAACAAAACAAAAGAACCAGAGACCAGAGCUAAGGCAGGACUUCCGGGCCUGUGUUCCUCAGGCUGCUGCUUCUGUUACGUGACUUUUUUAAGCAACGUUAGACGUGGAUUAACUAAUCCCAGGGGGUGGCUUCCUGCUAGAGUUCAAAACAACAAGCGAAGUCCACCCACAUCUGAACCUCUCAGAGCUGCAGGGUCCCGCACCCGUGAAAGACGGCUUUCAUGCUAACCUGUCCCAGGUGAGGGCUUCAUCAGGGCAGCUUUCUCUGGGGACCCCCAUCUCGGCCUUUCUGCCGAAGGUUCACUACUCCACUCAGAUUCUUCCUCCGUCCCGGGCGCCCUGCUCGGCACCGGGAGCGUGAUCCACAGCCCUCAGGGGCCGUGACGCCCGUAGAGGAGACAAGAUGAACAGGUAAAGAGGCAGACGUGUACCUGCAAAUCAGAGUGAGUCUGGCCAAAGCAAACAAACGGUGCAGAUCAGAGAAGAACCGGAGGGCCCUGGACACGGGCUGUCAGGAGGGCCUCUUACGCAGAGCUGACGGCGGGGGAGUGAGAAUUUUGAGAAGGGGGGUGAAGAGCGUUUCUGGCAGACAGAACAGAAUGUGUCAGGCUUUCGGGCAGGAAAGGAUUUUACUUUCCUAGAGAAGCAAAAGGAAACGUGAAUGAGCCUCAGAUAAAGUGGGAACAGUUCCCAGGCCGUGGGAAGGAAGCCGGAUUCUGACCCUUGACAGCAGCGGGAAGCCCCUGAGGGCCCUGACUGAGGUCUCGUGAAGCUCCCAGUCUGGAGACUGAGUGUCAGGAGAGCAGAGCCGUCAGGACACUGCUUCAGCGGUGACGGCAGGAGAGGACGCUGACGCACCGGGGACAGGCGCUUUGGGAGCAGGAGCAACAGGUCCUGACGAUGGACUGGGUGUCGGAAGACGAGGAACAAGGCUCGAGGGAGCAUUGGAGAAGAGGCUGAGGACCAGGGACGUGGUGACAUCCCACAGAGCACAGGGCGUGCAAGGCGAGGUGGGGCGUGGGCCCAGUCCACCGGGGGACACAGAGCUGUGGGGGUGAGAAUUAAGCAAGUUGUUUUCUGAGGACCUGAAAUACUUGGCUAAUGCGGAAACGUCAAACCCGCAUCGCCAUUUUCAUCUUAAAUGUGCCAGUGGUACUUGAAAUUGUGCAGUGGGGGGACGAGAGUUCGCCGUCCAUUUCAUCAUCCCAGACAAGCUCUCCUUCCUGACGUCCUGCUCGCCGGCAGGCGCUUUCCCAUCCCAGCGGCCUUUGAACCACAUGACCAAACGCCAGGUGUGGGAGACACAUGCCUGCUAAGCCCUCCCGGCCGCACGGGACACAUCCGAGCGCUGAGCGUCCGCAGCCCGAACACCUCGUGUGCCUGGGACGGCACAGCUGCGUGUCCUGGUCCCAGAUGUGGAAGCUGAGGCGCAGAGGUUCAGGGACGCCCUUGCUGCCUCUGCACCACCAUGGGGUUACAAACCCAAUCUAACUGGGUUCCAGCUUCGCCAGGAGCAGUCACUGCCCUGCCCGGGACGCCACGGCCCUUCUCACACAGCCCAGCCUGGGCAGCAGCUUCCUCCCCAGGCACGUCUGCCCUCCUCGGAGUGCUGUCCGAGGCGCUGCGAGCGCCCCGCCCCAACUCUGGAGCCAGCCCGUGGGAACUGGAGACUUGGAGGAAGAGGCCUCUGCCGCCCUCCUGGCAGGCAGUUCUUAAAAGGCGGCAGAGAGACUCUCCAACUCUUUAUUCUGUCGGCGGACACAGCCAGACCCAAGGAGAGGGCUGGGCUCCAGAGGCGGAAGCAUGAUCAGCACCGGAGCCGGGGCUCCACAACGGCGGGUGUCAGCGGCCCCGAGGCGUAUGCCUGGGCCCCGGCACAGGUGGCACAGGGCCAGGGCGCCGCGAUGCCCCUGCACGGGGCGGGAAGCCGGGGGGGACGACCCCCGGGGCUCUGGUCACCUCCCACCGUGCCCUCUCUUUGCCCACUUCCAGCUGGGCCUCUGUCCUCUCCCAGGUGCCCGGCUACCCCGGCUCCCCAGGCCCCACCUCUGCUCCCUGCCUGCGGUCCCCACCUUGCUCCCCAGGUACCGGUGGCCUCAGAACCUGCGUGUGUGUGUCCCCAGAUCAUUCCUGCAAGGCUGGGAAAGUGUCCUUUCCUACAUCUGCCCCUGGCAGGUCCCUGCUGUGCUGUGGCGCUGUGCACGGCGGUGAGGCCUGGGAGCCGGACACACGCCCCAAGUGCAGAGACGAAAGUGAAAGGCAGUGUCCAAACGACCACAGGAAACACAGGCGGCUUGGUCAUUCCAAGCAAGCGGCAGCCGCUCCAGGCACACAGCAGGGCGCUCCGGGGAAGCGCAGGCCUCGCCCACAGCUCAGAGACCGACAGGCAAGCAGGCACGUGGAGGGCGCAGCGCUAGGGUGCAGGGUGGACAGAGAGGUUAGGGGUUGCGUAAUGGAAGGGGACCACCAAGCCUGCCUGACGAGGACUGGCCUAUUUCCGGGCCAGGGUCCCCUCCUCCGCUGGCUCGGCAGCCCUCCGCUCAGGCCAGGCCGCCUUCUCAGCCUCCGAAAUCAGAAUCCCCAGCUCUCAGGGUGCCCUCAGCCCAGCAGAUCCCAAAGGGUCUCCACCCUGGACGGUGACACCACGCGGGGCCAGUCCCAGCGAGGGCUGGAUAGACUCUGAGCUCUGUCAGCAGAAAGCGGGGUAACAGUGGCCGCAGGACCCCAUGCUGCCGGGUCUUUAAACACAGAUACGUCGCGCAGAGAGCCCCCUGUGAACGCAGCUCACUGAGCACACGUGGAGUUCUGUUCUGCUGCUUAAAAUGCUGACUGCUAAGUUUAGGGACCUUUUCCUUUCUGUUCUGUCUCAAGUUUCAUGCCUCUGUAAUACAAACGCUUCUGCUGUAAAGCAGUAUCUACAUUCUCAGAAAACUUCAUGUUCUCUGAAAUUACACCCAGAUACAAUAACAGGACUUACGUGAAAACGGGGUUAGGGCCGACCACUCAAAACCUACAAAAUGCUGUAACCAGAGCUCUGACAAAAAGAAUGACUUGCAGCACCCAGGCAGGCGGGGUCAGCGGGGCUGGAGGCUGCCUCGGUGCAUAUUAAAAAUGUACCCAAAACGUCUAAUGGACACUGGCAAGACUGUAACUAGAGCAAGGCUGAUAGGUGCCAAGACAAGGCAGAUGACAGCAGAGUUCCGAGCGGGGCCUGUUCCCAGGCUGGCGGCAUAUGCCCAGCAGGCACUGUGGCCGAGCCUGGCAGGCUGGGGCGCAGCUUUCUGACGGAGAGGCCCAGGCAUGGCAGCGUUUUGCUCCUGUUGAUCCUGGGAGCCCCGAGGCCCUCCUGCUGCACAGCUGUCAAGCCCUGGGCUUCUCUGUCUCCUGCUGAAGCUGGGGACGCCAGCCCCACUGUCCCAGCUCCGUACCCCGGGGCAGAAUCCCAGAUGAGCCACACCACAAGGCUUUGCACUGUACCGACGUCCCACCCCUGCUCUCCUGUCACCCGGAAGCAGGCCGGUCCAUACGGAGGUGCACCACCAUGUGCCCGGUGAACCCUGAUUCCCGCAUCACCCCCGUGCGCCGCCCGCUGAGCCGUGCGCUCCUCACCGCAGAGACUCUGCCUUAGUACCAUGCAUCCAGAACACCUAACCCUGGGCCAGCAGGCCAACGGUGAGGAAGGGCCCACGUUUCUGAGAAAGGAACAGGACGCUGGGCUCUCGGCACACGCACACGCUGCACACCGUCCUGGCGGCGCUGAACAAAGCAAGCUGUGGGUGUGUGGUUGCACCCCCAGCUUCAGCUGAGAGCUCAUGAAGGCCCUCUGUGCAACAGGGACUUUCUCUUGCUCAACAGCUGGUUGCUUCCCACUGAGUUAACGGGGCUUAUAAACACUGUCUGGAACAGAAGAAACAGAAACUCUGCAGGGCACCGUGUCUAUUAAAGAAACAGCACAAAAAGCUUCCCCCACAGAAAGCUGAAGACCCAGACGACUCCACUGAUGAACUGCAGCAAGAGCAGGAGAAACCAAUAAAACCACUUCCACACAGAAAGAGCUGUUUGGCUCUAUUUAUACGAUGAUCUGCGCGUGGGGAGAAGUCUCUGCGCUGCCGUUUGUGGUAAAUGUUGGGGGCAGCCUGUCUCGUCUCUACGGCCUGACCUCAUCAGGGCCCUGGCCUGUGGGGCCGCCUGCGGCCAGGACACCACCUGCCCAGCCACCAGGCAGCAGGCCGCCAGAGCCGGCCUUUCCGCUGAGCUCCGAGGAGGCCCGGACCCUCGGCCACCCUGGCCCCUGGGGGUUCUCGUCUCCUCCUGCAGUCAGACCUGCCUGCACCCCGGCGGCGGCCUGGCCAGGGCCCGGGCUGAGCCCACAGGUGCAGGCGGUAGGAGAGGUGCCGCCGUCCUUCCCAGUCACCCAGGGCCAGCAGACAAGGAGCAGGCAGCAGAAGGGACGGCUGGCAGCCCUCCCCACCCGCGUGCGAGAGGACGCUGUCCAGUGUGGCCUGACAGUGACUAGCCCCCUGGAGACUGAGGGCGGGGCGGGACCAGGCCCCCGGGUCACCUCUCAGGCUGUUCUUUGACCCAGCUCACACAUUGGUCUCCUGUAUCGCGUGGGACCUGGGGGCAGCCCAAGGCCGCUGGGCUCCGGACGCUGAAGCCCUCCCGAGAAGUAGGACCCCUGAGAGAAAAGGCCACUGCCUGCACCUGGACCAGAGAAGAAGGACGCCUGCUGACCCUGACCUCGCAGAAGCACCCUGCCGGGGCUGGGGCUGAAACGCACCACGCUCCAGGUGCAGCACCGGGAGCGCGGCGGCCACCACGUGCACAGGCGAGCAGCGGGCAGGGACAUGCGGCAGCAGGGCAACCGUGCCCGUGAUGCUGGCCCUGGCUGCCCGGCCGUCCCAGCGUCCGCCGUGCCCCUCCGCGGUGAGCCCUGCCCCUGUGUCAUCAGCGGGUCCCCUGUGGGCCACCCUGCAUCUCUGUGAGUAUCUUGGCUCUCAUCAGGCUUCCCCAGUGAGUUUUAUCACCUACUGCCUAUUCUUGCCUGGACCAGUUAUUACUAUGACAGCUGCCAGAUGAUGAUCCGCUUAACUCAGCUAUUCCUACUCAUUAAUUAGACGGCAUUCUUCUGGAAGCAAGAGUUCUUCCAAGUCACUAUUAAACACAAAACAAAACAAAACACCUCUCCUAGCUCUGCUCAUUGCGAGGGCCUGCAGCAGCAGUGAGCACACCCACCCUGGUCUUGGCUUCGAAAUACUGUUCUCCACGGAAAGGAGACGGGGCGCCUUGGGGAACGGCUGGUGCCCAAACUAGACAACACAGCGGGAGCCUGUGCCAGAAGUAAGGAAGUGCUCAAACUGACGGGGAGCUCAAACACAAGUGAACUAGAAUGGGCUCCCACUCGCCAACUCUGGGCAUCAAAAUGAAUAAAGGAAUGGAUUAUAACACACUGAAUGAAAAUAAAAUUCCCUAAGCCCACUGGCAUUUAAAACAGUUUAAGGAAGAGCAGGGAAAAGGUAAACCUCUUCUCUACAGAAGAAUGCUGACUAGGAAGGUGGAAGGACUGAGAAACAGUAAAAUUACCAUUUUACAUGGUAAUCGCUGAUCCAGGCGAGAAGCAGCCAACAGGGAAACCACACCUUACGGCGAUGAAUGCUGGCAGACACGGCCACGGCCACGGGGUGAGACCCAACGCAACAGCACCGGGACAGACGCACCCUGCAAGCCUCUGCGGGCGGCGGGCUGACGUGGACACGGUGUCACGGGGACGGCUUCCCACCAAGAGUGUCCAACCUGAAUCUACCCA
Non-coding RNA from Vicugna pacos (alpaca), 7949 nucleotides. The record is from RefSeq and is a predicted model, not a curated record. NCBI's taxonomy places the organism in Eukaryota, Metazoa, Chordata, Mammalia, Artiodactyla, Camelidae.